Molecule: ribosomal RNA, 497 nt
Filed under: uncultured bacterium
Lineage: Bacteria
Description: partial 16S ribosomal RNA
Rfam family: Bacterial small subunit ribosomal RNA
Source: RNAcentral
GAUGAACGCUGGCGGCGUGCCUAAUACAUGCAAGUCGAACGCAUAGCGAAAGGUGCUUGCACCUUUCAAGUGAGUGGCGAACGGGUGAGUAACACGUGGACAACCUGCCUCAAGGCUGGGGAUAACAUUUGGAAACAGAUGCUAAUACCGAAUAAAACUUAGUGUCGCAUGACACAAAGUUAAAAGGCGCUUCGGCGUCACCUAGAGAUGGAUCCGCGGUGCAUUAGUUAGUUGGUGGGGUAAAGGCCUACCAAGACAAUGAUGCAUAGCCGAGUUGAGAGACUGAUCGGCCACAGUGGGACUGAGACACGGCCCAAACUCCUACGGGAGGCUGCAGUAGGGAAUCUUCCACAAUGGGCGAAAGCCUGAUGGAGCAACGCCGCGUGUGUGAUGAAGGCUUUCGGGUCGUAAAGCACUGUUGUAUGGGAAGAACAGCUAGAAUAGGAAAUGAUUUUAGUUUGACGGUACCAUACCAGAAAGGGACGGCUAAAUACGUG